Molecule: long non-coding RNA, 3331 nt
Organism: Oncorhynchus tshawytscha (Chinook salmon)
Lineage: Eukaryota; Metazoa; Chordata; Actinopteri; Salmoniformes; Salmonidae
Source: Ensembl
UUAAGGCCACAAAUGUAUUUAUUUUGUGAAUGUCUAAAUUCUUUAUUAUUUACAUAUGCAAAACCAGAGGGAAAAUAUACAAAGUAUAUGAAAUUAAAUAACCAGGUGUCAUUUUUUUUCUUCCAAAAAGCUGAUAUUAAAUUUUUUUAAGCAUUCCAUAUAAUCAGUGCAGUGUUGAUGAUGACAUUUUCUCUGUUUUGUACUCAAAGUGAUUUGCCCUGAAGCAAAUGAUCAUCUCUAUAGAUAUCACCUGACCUGUGUAUUUUUUAAAGAUUGUAUUGUAUGUGCUUUGGUUUUUAUCAUCCCAUUUAACAGUGGACAUACCUCUAGCUGGAGUGAACAACAGACCAUCUGACGCACUCUAGCUCAAGACCUGAAGACAAACUUUGCAGAGCAUCAGUCUUAUGUCAAUCAGAGUUCUCUGUGUCUGCAUUGACAAUCUGAACGUUGUACAGUACAAAUGCGAUGCCAAGUUAUGACAAUCGAUGCUCUCUAGGGUUACAAAGAGGACCAAAACUGUCUUUAGUGUUGAUAAUUGACUGCAUUGACAUCUGUGGGUGGGGGUGAUUGGAUUGUCUUGCUUACAGACGCUUACGUUGUAUGUACAACGCAAGUAUGUUCUGGCCAACAUUUUCCUUGUAAGCACUGUUGUAUGUGAGAUGUUGGGGUAUGUCCACUCUGUCUGUCUGAUCAUUGUGCUUGAUUGUUUUCCUUUGCCUUGGGUUUUCCAUGGCUUCCUCCUAUGCUGAAACUAGAUAGUUUAAAGAAAGAAAAUAUAAUAAUAAAACCAAUUUUGCUUCAAUUUCACUUCAGUGUUUAUUCAAUAUAGUACACUGGAAUCCAAACUGAUCUCUACUUUCAACAUCAGCCCGGGACUCAGUAUUUUUAAAGCAGGCUAUCAAUAUGACAUCCUGGCAUCCAAACUGGUUUAAAGUAUAUCUUCCUUCACUGUCCCUGUACCAGGCUCAAACGAGUGAUCCUUUGCUCACAAGCGACCAUCCUCGUUGAUAACGUUCCAACCGUUUGAGCUAUAUAGAAGGUACCAAUUGGAUAGCUCCAUCGGCUACAUUUCAAGGUUGCUGUGGAAUGAGCUUAUGGCACAUUCUUAACACUACCCCAAACACUCUCCCAGUUUUCGCCCAUCAACAUCUUGCUUAAAGGGAGCUCUGAUGAGGGAUUGGGUGUGUCUAGCCAUAUGUCUUUCGCUCUUCCACGUCUGUUGCUGUAAAAACAAUAGAAAAACAUGUGUCUGCUAGUCUACUGCAGCAAAUUUCCACACGACAUGUAGACACAAUAAGCUGUUCUUUGGUGCAACUAAUGGCUAUGAAUCGUGCUUGGAACCAAUUGGUACCUUCUGAAAGUAUGACGGCGCUGACGGAGAGAGUCGCGUUAGAUCUAGUCCUUAGGAAACUAUGCAGUAUUUCGUUUUUUUAAUGUAUUUUUCCUUACAUCGUUAGCCUAGAAAAUCACAAGUGUUAUUUCAUACAGCCGGGAAGAACUAUUGGAUAUCAGAGCGAUGUCAACUUACUAGCACUAUGACCAGGAAUACGACUUUCCCGAAGUGGAUCAUUUGUUCGAACCACCCAAGGCAUUCAAACUGAUUCCAGAGCCUGACCCAAAACAACAUCGCCACAGAAGAGGUAGACGGAGUGGCCUUCUGGUCAGACUUCGGAGGCACACCAUCCACCGCUUCCGAGUAUAUUACUCUCUAAGGUCCAGUCUCUAGAUAACAAGGUAGAUUAAAUUAGGGCAAAGGUCGCUUUUCAGAGAGACAUCAGGAAUUGCAACAUACUCUGUUUCACAGAAACAUGUCUCUCUGGGGAUUUUUAUUUUAUUUUUUUAUUUUACCUUUAUUUAACUAGGCAAGUCAGUUAAGAACACAUUCUUAUUUUCAAUGACAGCCUAGGAACAGUGGGUUAACUGCCUGUUCAGGGGCAGAACGACGGUUACUAGUCCAACGCUCUAACCACUAGGCUACCCUGCCGCUACCCUGCUGCUGUUGGUCCAGCGCCGACAGGAAUAAACAUUUCCCUUGGGAAGAAGAAGGGUGGGGGUGUAUGUUUUAUGAUUAACUACUCAUGGUGUAAUUGUAACAAUAUACAGGAACUCAAGUCCUUCUGUUCACCUGAUCUAGAAUUCCUCACAAUCAAAUGCCGACCGUAUUAUCUCCCAAGAUAAUUACCGUUGGUUAUUGUCACAGCUGUGUACAGUGGGGCAAAAAAGUUUUUAGUCAGCCACCAAUUGUGCAAGUUCUCCCACUUAAAAAGAUGAGAGAGGCCUGUAAUUUUCAUCAUGGGUACACUUCAACUAUGACAGACAAAAUGAGAGAAAAAAAAUCCAGAAAAUCACAUUGUAGGAUUUCUAAUUAAGUUAUUUGCAAAUUAUGGUGGAAAAUAAACUUUUGUUAUUGACCAAAUACUUAUCUCAAUACUUUGUUAUAUACCCUUUGUUCACAAGGUUUUCACACACUGUUGCUGGUAUUUUGGCCCAUUCCUCCAUGCAGAUCUCCUCUAGAGCAGUCAUGUUUUGGGGCUGUUGCUGGGCAACACGGACUUUCAACUCUCUCCAAAGAUUUUCUAUGGGGUUGAGAUCUGGAGAACUUGAAAUUCUUCUUACGAAGCCACUCCUUGGUUUUUGUAUUUGGGAUCAUUGUCAUGCUGAAAGACAAAGCCACGUUUCAUCUUCAAUGCCCUUGCUGAUGGUAGGCUUUGUUACUUUGGUCCCAGCUCUCUGCAGGUCAUUCACUAGGUCCCCCCAUGUGGUUCUGGGAUAUUUGCUCACCGUUCUUGUGAUAAUUUUGACCCCACCGGGUGAGAUCUUGCGUGGAGCCCCAGAUCGAGGGAAAUUAUCAGUGUCUCAGAGGUCCGUUAAAAGCGCAGAGAGCAUCAUGAAGAACAAGGAACACACCAGGCAGGUCCGAGAUACUGUUGUGAAGAAGUUUAAAGCCGGAUUUGGAUACAAAACGAUUUCCCAAGCUUUAAACAUCCCAAGGAGCACUGUGCAAGCGAUAUAUUGAAAUGGAAGGAGUAUCAGACCACUGCAAAUCUACCAAGACCUGGCCGUCCCUCUAAACUUUCAGCUCAUACAAGGAAAAGACUGAUCAGAGAUGCAGCCAAGAGGCCCAUGAUCACUCUGGAUGAACUGCAGAGAUCUACAGCUGAGGUGGGAGACUCUGUCCAUAGGACAACAAUCAGUCGUAUAUUGCACAAAUCUGGCCUUUAUGGAAGACUGGCAAGAAGAAAGCCAUUUCUUAAAGAUAUCCAUAAAAAGUGUAGUUUAAAGUUUGCCACAAGCCACCUGGGAGACACACCAAACAUGUGGAAGAAGGUGC